GGAUGACCGCUGGCGGCGUGCUUACCACAUGCAAGUCGAACGAGAAAUGUAGACGGAACCCUUCGGGCGGAAGCCUUCAUUUCGAGUGGCGGACGGGUGAGUAACGCGUGGGUAACCUGCCUCAUACAGGGGGAUAACAGUUGGAAACGACUGUUAAUACCGCAUAAGACCACAGCAUCGCAUGAUGCGGGGGUAAAAACUCCGGUGGUAUGAGAUGGACCCGCGUUCGAUUAGCCAGUUGGCGGGGUAACGGCCCACCAAAGCGACGAUCGAUAGCCGAUCUGAGAGGAUGACCGGCCACAUUGGGACUGAGACACGGCCCAAACUCCUACGGGAGGCAGCAGUGGGGAAUAUUGCACAAUGGGGGAAACCCUGAUGCAGCGACGCCGCGUGAGUGAAGAAGUACUUCGGUAUGUAAAGCUCUAUCAGCAGGGAAGAAAAUGACGGUACCUGAGUAAGAAGCCCCGGCUAACUACGUG
RNAcentral lists this ribosomal RNA (479 nucleotides) under uncultured bacterium. Its description in RNAcentral is "partial 16S ribosomal RNA". It matches the Rfam family "Bacterial small subunit ribosomal RNA", at positions 27 to 507 of the family's 1533-position model. The record is from RNAcentral.